Aegilops tauschii subsp. strangulata is the source of this 1551-nucleotide non-coding RNA. NCBI's taxonomy places the organism in Eukaryota, Viridiplantae, Streptophyta, Magnoliopsida, Poales, Poaceae. The record is from RefSeq and is a predicted model, not a curated record.
AAAGUUCCAGAUAGUUGUGUCAAAUAUAUCAGCCAAAGGACCUGCCGUCGUUGCUUGAGCUUGUUGAGUUUGUUCUGGGAGCUCCUCUUCCUGGGGAAAAUCUGUUGGAAACCUUGAGCAAGCAUCUAAUGUUGGCUGUGUCAUCAAGCUUUGGCUUGUAACUGUGUAUUUCUCUCCUUCUCAUCUUCUUCUUUGAGGAGGUUUAUUUUCAGGGAGUCUUGACAGAUUUGAUAGAGGAUCUAAAUUUUCUUUAGAAUUUUAGAACCACUAUCCUUUUUAGUGUCGGUGUUCAAUUGAUUAUAGAUGAUAGUGACAUUUUGGACCAUGGUCCUGGUUCGGUGUGGUUUCAUGAUUGUCAUACAGUACACUAAAUUUUCUGAGUAUUGCACAAGCUGAGUAAAUAUGGGUCGAGGUAAUCUAACCUUAUACUACAUAUUCAAUUAAUACACGUUCUUAUUGAAAAAGAUAUACCAAAUACCAUUUUGUAAUGGAUAGCACACUUUUAAAUAAUGGACAUAACAAUUAACGCUUUUUUUGUAGUGAAGAACAACUGUGUUUGCACAUACAAUCUUCACUUAAUUUGAGGACCACCAUCCUCCCCGCUCCCUCCCCUCCCCCAACCCGAUAUAGAUGCCUAACCUGCGGGAACGGGAAGGCGGCCGGCGGGUGACGCGAGGCGCGGUGGCGGCGCGAGGAAGACGGGCAGAUCCGGGCGCGGCGUUGACUGGCGGCUGGUGCGGCGGCUUGUUCCGGUGCCAGCGGCGUCCUGCUCAUCCAGAGAAGGAGAGAUAAGGGCCUCAGGGAGAGAGGAAACAGAGGAAGAAAGGAGAAGGAGAAGGGGCGCAAGGUGAGGGAGGGAUCUGGCGGGUGGUGCGAGGGCUUGCUCCGGUGGCGGCGGCGGCCUUCUCAUCCAGAGAAAGAGAUGGACAGGGACGUGGGGGAGAGAGGAAGCAAGGAGAAGGAGAAGGGGCGCAUGGUGAGGAAGGUGGUCGCCGGCUGUGGUGCCUCCGGUGACCGACCGGCGGUAUGGUGGCGAGUUCCUGUUGAGGCCACAUACAACUAGCACCGUCAGCACCACAAGACCACACCAGGAGGGUGUCUGGUCAUCCGCGUGGUCUCCCUCCAACCGGCGCGUCUGACCACAGCCAAUGGUGUCUGGAGUUCUGGACACCUGCUCGGGCUACCCUGCUGCUGCUACUUCUGUCCUCACGCCUCUGCUGCUGCUCCUUCUACUUCUCAGAUGCCCCUGCUUGCUCUGAACUCUCCCACUCUCUGCUGUUGCAUCUGAGUGCGGCCACGGUGCUGGUCUAAGCAGCAACAGAGUGGUGUUCGAGGCGAUGGGUGCCUGGAGAGGGCAUGCUGGGCGAUGCUGCUGUAGAGGAUGAGAGAGAGCAGAGAGGUGAGAGGUAGAGAGAGCAGAGAGAGGCGUUGAUUGCUGCACCUACUGAUCUGGUCCUGCGGAGAAAAAAGAGAUAGGUGAGAGAGAGGAGUUAAUUGCAUAGAAAUACCAUAAUUGGGGCAUCACAUGCAAAUUGGUACCACGAUUGCUAA